Molecule: ribosomal RNA, 112 nt
Filed under: uncultured bacterium
Lineage: Bacteria
Description: partial 16S ribosomal RNA
Source: RNAcentral
AGGGUAUUAACCUACAACUUUCCUCGCUGCUGAAAGUGCUUUACAACCCGCAGGCCUUCUUCACACACAUGGCAUUGCUGGAUCAGGGUUUCCCCCAUUGUCCAAUAUUCCC